Long non-coding RNA from Bombus terrestris (buff-tailed bumblebee), 808 nucleotides. RefSeq lists it as uncharacterized. The record is from RefSeq and is a predicted model, not a curated record. NCBI's taxonomy places the organism in Eukaryota, Metazoa, Arthropoda, Insecta, Hymenoptera, Apidae. The transcript has 2 exons.
AGGUUAGAUUGUAUCACUUUUUGUUCUUAAGCUUAAUUUGUGGUGAUUAAUGAAAAAUGUAUAUCAUAUAAACUGUUUAUUAUUAUAUUAACAACAAACUUUUAUAUAAACUAUUUUUUUAUUAACAAAGUAUACUAUCAGUACUCAUUUCGUAAUGAUUUUAAUUAAGAUAAUCAGUUCAAAGUGACUCUAACAAUACCAUUUAUUACGAUGGAAAGUUAUUUAAUAUAAAUUUAUUAAAUAAUAUUGACGAAAACAAUGUAUUUUCAUCUAGUAAUUGUAAUGCCUCUUUCUUAUUAAAAUUUGUUAAGUUGUAAAGCAUUAAAUAUAUUUCAGAUGAUUGUAUUAUUACAAAAAUUUUUAAAAGAAUACUAUUAAUAUUUUGUAUUAUGUUUCACUUUUUUUCCAAGAAAAUUUAUGAAUAAAUUUAACAUAAUUAAUGAUGUAGAUUAAUGUUAUUUAUGAUUGCAAUAAGAAAAUAUUGAUCUCCUUUCAUAACUUUAUUUUUAAUAUAAUUAUACAUAUGUACAAAGACAAUACGGUUAUAAUAUAAAUCUAAAUAAAUAUGAAAAUUAUAUUAGAUUUUUCUUAUACUAUAAACAUAUUUCUACAGAUUUUCAUAGAUAUUUGAUAUCUAAAUAAUUUAUAAUAAAAUAAAUAUUGUCUGCAUAUUUUGUGUUCCCAUUUAUCUUUUGUUAUUUUCUACUGUUGAUUUUACAUCAACAUUAGUAUAACAUUUCAUUGAAUAUAGUAGCAUUUAAUAUUUGUAUUUAUGAAAUAAAUAAUAUGUCAGCAUAUGUUUCAAAAA